ACACCAUGCGAGGCACUUCUGUCGUAAUGACACUGAGUGCGAAAGCUGGGUCAACAGGAUAGUAACCUGUAGUCACGCGUUAACGAUGAGUGCUACGGUAGAUGCUUUCCGUCUUUAGUGCGAAGUAACGCUUAUGCACUCCGCUGGAGAGUACGCCGCAGGGCUAAAUCAAAAGGAAUAAAGGGGGCGCGCACAAGCGGGGAGCAUGUGUUUUAUUUAGACGCAGCGGAAGACCUUCCGGCUCUAGACUCCUGUGACAUCCCUAGAGAUAGGGGUUCCCUUUCGGAAUCAGACUCACAGGGUGGCGCAUGUUGGUCACAUCUUGUCUCGUGAGGUGGGGGGUAAAGUCCUGCCAAGAGCGGAACCCUUUAUUUUAUUGCCAUCAUUUAAGUGGGCACUCUAAGGGGACUGCCGGGGACAAACCGGAGGAAAGGGGGGGAGACGUCAAAUCAUCCUGCCCCUUAUGACCUUGGGUACCACACUGGUACCAAUGACGGUACAAAAAGGUGCAAAACCCGGAGGGGGAGGUUAUUUCCAUAAAACCUUUUCCAUUCCGGAUGUCGGUUGCAAAUUGCCUUCCGGGAAGUGGGAAUCGUUGGUAUCCGGGAAUCACAAGGCCCCGGGGAUAACUUUCCCGGCCCUGGUCCACCCCCCCCGCCCCCCCAGGGAGUUUGGUACCCCCGAAGUCGCGGGGUAACAUUGGAGCCAGCCGCCUAAGAGUAUAGUGUG
This 729-nucleotide ribosomal RNA is filed under the name Bacillus cereus. RNAcentral's name for it is "partial 16S ribosomal RNA". It matches the Rfam family "Bacterial small subunit ribosomal RNA", at positions 706 to 1473 of the family's 1533-position model. The record is from RNAcentral. Lineage: Bacteria; Bacillati; Bacillota; Bacilli; Caryophanales; Bacillaceae.